RNAcentral lists this ribosomal RNA (465 nucleotides) under Vreelandella stevensii. Its description in RNAcentral is "partial 16S ribosomal RNA". It matches the Rfam family "Bacterial small subunit ribosomal RNA", at positions 338 to 795 of the family's 1533-position model. Lineage: Bacteria; Pseudomonadati; Pseudomonadota; Gammaproteobacteria; Oceanospirillales; Halomonadaceae. The record is from RNAcentral.
CCUACGGGGGGCAGCAGUGGGGAAUAUUGGACAAUGGGCGAAAGCCUGAUCCAGCCAUGCCGCGUGUGUGAAGAAGGCCUUCGGGUUGUAAAGCACUUUCAGUGGGGAAGAAAGCCUUGGGGCUAAUACCCUCGAGGAAGGACAUCACCCACAGAAGAAGCACCGGCUAACUCCGUGCCAGCAGCCGCGGUAAUACGGAGGGUGCGAGCGUUAAUCGGAAUUACUGGGCGUAAAGCGCGCGUAGGCGGUCUGAUAAGCCGGUUGUGAAAGCCCCGGGCUCAACCUGGGAACGGCAUCCGGAACUGUCAGGCUAGAGAGCAGGAGAGGAAGGUAGAAUUCCCGGUGUAGCGGUGAAAUGCGUAGAGAGCGGGAGGAAUACCAGUGGCGAAGGCGGCCUUCUGGACUGACACUGACGCUGAGGUGCGAAAGCGUGGGUAGCAAACAGGAUUAGAUACCCCUGUAGUC